Molecule: non-coding RNA, 71 nt
Organism: Podarcis lilfordi (Lilford's wall lizard)
Lineage: Eukaryota; Metazoa; Chordata; Lepidosauria; Squamata; Lacertidae
Source: the annotation of a GenBank genome assembly
GAUUAAGCUCAGUUGGUUAGAGCAUGGUGCUUAUAACGCCAAGGUUGCAGGUUUGAUCCCUGGAUGGGACA